GUAACAAGGUCUCCGUUGGUGAACCAGCGGAGGGAUCAUUACCGAGUUUACAACUCCCAAACCCAAUGUGAACGUUACCAAACUGUUGCCUCGGCGGGAUCUCUGCCCCGGGUGCGUCGCAGCCCCGGACCAAGGCGCCCGCCGGAGGACCAACCUAAAACUCUUAUUGUAUACCCCCUCGCGGGUUUUUUUAUAAUCUGAGCCUUCUCGGCGCCUCUCGUAGGCGUUUCGAAAAUGAAUCAAAACUUUCAACAACGGAUCUCUUGGUUCUGGCAUCGAUGAAGAACGCAGCGAAAUGCGAUAAGUAAUGUGAAUUGCAGAAUUCAGUGAAUCAUCGAAUCUUUGAACGCACAUUGCGCCCGCCAGUAUUCUGGCGGGCAUGCCUGUCCGAGCGUCAUUUCAACCCUCGAACCCCUCCGGGGGGUCGGCGUUGGGGAUCGGCCCUCCCUUAGCGGGUGGCCGUCUCCGAAAUACAGUGGCGGUCUCGCCGCAGCCUCUCCUGCGCAGUAGUUUGCACACUCGCAUCGGGAGCGCGGCGCGUCCACAGCCGUUAAACACCCAACUUCUGAAAUGUUGACCUCGGAUCAGGUAGGAAUACCCGCUGAACUUAAGCAUAUCAAUAAGCGGAGGAA
Molecule: ribosomal RNA, 632 nt
Filed under: fungal sp. ARIZ B007
Lineage: Eukaryota; Fungi
Description: eukaryotic LSU rRNA
Rfam family: 5.8S ribosomal RNA (bases 244-397)
Source: RNAcentral